AUUGAACGCUGGCGGCAGGCUUAACACAUGCAAGUCGAACGUGGGGCAGGCGUGUGAGUAAUACUUGUGAAUCUAGCUUAUGUAGGGGGAUAACUACGGGAAACUGUAGCUAAUACCGCUUACCAGAGUAUGAGCCCAAGUGGGAUUAUGUAGUUGGUGAGGUAAAGGAUCACCAAGCCGACGAUCUCUAGCUGGUCUGAGAGGAUGACCAGUAACAGUGGGACUGGGACAAGGACGAGACUUCGAAGGGAGGCAGCAUUGGGGAACAUUCCGCAAUGGGGGCAAGGUGACGCAGCCAUGCCGCGUGAAUGUAGAAGGCCUUCGGGGUGUAAAGUUCUAUCGGUAGCGAGGCGUUAACUAAAGAAGAAGCACCGGCUAACUCCGUGCCAGCAGCCGCGGUAAUAC
This 405-nucleotide ribosomal RNA is filed under the name uncultured bacterium. Its description in RNAcentral is "partial 16S ribosomal RNA". It matches the Rfam family "Bacterial small subunit ribosomal RNA", at positions 30 to 526 of the family's 1533-position model. The record is from RNAcentral.